UCUAACCAAAUUCAGUUAUUAUCCUCACAUCAACAAGCAGGUUCAAGAUGAACACAUAGUGUACAACAAUGAAAAUAUGUUCACAAACAUGAAUAUACAUUGAACCCAAGUUUAUAAACACAUCAAUCUGGACAAAUCAUAAUUUUGACCAUCUUAAUAAUCACCCAGAACACAUGAGUCACAAAAAAUAUCAUUUGUUAAUUGUUGUGAAAAAAGUACAACGGAUGAGCAUAGUACACUGUCUAACUAAAAGUUGAUGGAGUAGCUUGUUGUUUGUCAGCACUCUAGAUGAUUUUCUCUUGGCUGUCAAGUUUGGAUGGAUUGCUUACGACCAUCAUGCUUUAUCAGCGUUCUCUUCAUCACAUAAUGCUUUGCGUCUCCAGAUCUUGGGCUCUUCUUGUUGUUGUUGGUCCCCAUGAUUAGAUAGUUCGCUUCGAACCUUCAUGCUUUGUGUCGUUAUUUUCUAAAACCAAAGAUAAUUGCUUCUUUUCCUUGUAGACAUUCCUGAAAUAAGAAACAAAUGACCAUAGGAUGACCGAUCUUUAGAUAAUAACACGGGAAAAGGCACUAUUGAUAUUUUGCUACAGAUCUUGCUCAUAUGGUUGGUAGAAAGAUGACAAUUUACGGGUAUACAAAGCCGGACUAUGUAUGCUGGAAGGAAUCGCUUGAGGCCUAUCCUUGAAUCGGUAGGGGUAAAGAAUAAUAGGCAUACUUAAUUGAUCAAUGCCCAACAGAAUUCAUAAUGCACAUGGAUCAAAUUAUGUGUGGGAGCAAAGUACGCUACAUAAAGACUAUGACUAUGGUGUGGAUGAACUGAUAUGUGUAUUUUAACUCCUAAGCAAUGUAUGUGCGUAUAAAGAUCAUGUUGAGCCAUUUUGAUAUUUUUAAUUAUAAACUGCAGUAUGUGGAGCUCAGUUUUGUAUCAACAAGAUACAAAAUUUUAUCUAGUAAUUCUAUAAGUUCACACAGAAAUCUGGUGCUAUUGUCAAGGCUAAAAAAUGAUAGAUUUAUAUUUCUAAGAGAUAAACAAUAAACUUAAUGUAUGUGGUAUGUUGUAGUACCUACACAUCCUAGUAUUAAUGUAUGUAGUAUGUUGUAGUACCUGCACAUCCUAGUACAUUAGUUGCUUUCUUGUCAUCCUUGAUCAUUUCAGUAUGUAGAGGUGUCUCGGUAGACGAAUAUCAGUAUAAGAUAAUUUCAAAAGAAGAUGACCAACGCGACGCAAUACAAGCAGAUCUCUUGCGAACUAGCCUACAAGAGAAAAAAUAAAUAACAUGACAUGAUGAUUUUUUUUAGAAGUCAAGACGUACUAAUUACAUGUAGUUUAGAUGAAUAAGAUUCUUCGGAGGUACAUAUAGUAUCGAGGCUAGGAGCUACACGAGUAACACCACUGUUGGAUAUAACAACAUGCGAAAGCCGGAACGCCGGUAUGCUACAAUAGCCACUUGGUACCCUUACUCCAUUGGAAUCAAUACCUGCUACACCACAUUAUUAGUGUAGCACUUAUGUACGUAAGCUAUAGACAUGGUAAUAACAUUAUGAGAAGCAUGGACGGUUGUCAGGACCCAGUGUCUGAAUUCAGAUUCAGUCGAAACAUUUCAAAUGAAGAACCUUGGCGGGAAGCAACCACGACCGUCCAUCACUGAUCCAACGCCUCCCAGGCUUCCGUGCCGCUUUGCUGAAUGAAAGGCCCCGACAACCGUUGAUCCUCGAUCGAACGGCGAUCCCAGCGUCGGGCGUUACUGUCGUUCAUCCGGCACGCUUUUCAUUUUUGUUUUCGUUUUAGCUUUACCGUUCCUCGCUUUUGUAAGUCUAUAUAAGCCAUGAUUCCAGCUCGAUCAGGGCAUGACAUUCUUCUAGGGUUUCCCCCUAUUGCGCCGCCAGUGUUCCUGGUUGGCAACCUUGUACCAGCUCCCAAGCUACUUCCUUAAAUUCGCGAGUAAAGACGGCUAGUUCGAGUGCAUUUCUUCUAUGUUCAGUUCUUCAGACUAGCAAGGUCUGAUAAUGGUAUUCAGAGCCAGUCUCUCCUCGGUGUUUUUUUGGAUCUGGUGGCAGGGAUGAUGUGGGACGAGUUGUAAAAUCCCUCUCCCUCCCUCCCUAUCACGGCGACGGUGAUACUCUGCUGGCACUUGUGGCGGCGAUCAUUCAGUACUGGUAUGGUGAGGUUAGUGGUUUCAAAAGCUACCUGCUUGCGCGGUAAAAUCCCACCACCCUCCGGGAUCCGGUGUACUCUGGUGGCGCGCCAAAGGCGGCGGUGCAGGAGGCGGCAGGACUAACAGCACAAAGAUCGGGUUGCAGCUUCGGUCGUGGUAAAAUUCCUCUCCUUGCGCUUGUUGGUCACCGCAGUGAGGUACUUGGCUCACCACCAACUAGAAACCCUCCCUGCGUUCUCUCAUGCAAAAGAUGGUAGGACCAUCCGACUCCUCUUCCACAGAUCAGCUGGAGUUCACCUCCCUGCAACUUGAUGUCCAGAUGAUGCAGAAAAACAGAGAGCAGAAUCGGCUAGAGUUUGAUGAGUUGAGAGAUUUUGUGCAUGAUAAUUUUCAGUCUCUGCACAAGACCCUUGGUGACCUGCAGAGUUACUUGUCCACUUUCAUCUCUGCUUUUCCCAAACCAAGAGAAGUGCAACCCAUCCCUCAGGAUGUUCCCCAAGCCAGCACCAUUGCUCACACAACACGAGGCACUGUGAACAAGUUCCAGGAUGCUCGACAGUCCCCUGCUAUUGUGGGUUCUGCUACUUUGGUGGACAAAAACACUGGUAAGGAACUUAAUUUGGAUGGUACUCACAAGCUUCCUUACAAACAUCCACACUUUGUUGAGAACAGGCAGUCAAAUGUUGAGGUUAAAACACAAACUGCUGCACACCAAGUUGGACCUGCCCAACACGUGAUUAAUAUGGAGGAGGAACAAGGGGAUGGACUCAAUGCUCACCUUGACAGGAGAUUUGGUAUUGCAAAUAGGGAGUUGGCCCAAGAUAACAGAAGAGUAGAAACCCUGGUGAAGCCUGCCAAGUACAAUAUUCCUAAAUUUGAUGGUACCAGCACUGACUCAUGGACUCAAACAAUUGAGAUGUACUUUGUAGCUGCUAGAACUCCCUUAGAACAGAAAAAUUAAAUUACAGUGACUUACCUAAAAGGGCCUGCAAUUGAAUGGUGGAGAUGAACAGGGAUAAUUGCAAACACUCUGCCCUGAUACAGGUUUUGCAGACUUCUUGGAGAUAGGUUCUCUGAAACCUCUGUGUGUGACAAUGUCAGAACAUCCCAUGCACUUAAUCAAACUGGGACUGUAAAUGACUAUGUGCUAAAGUUUGAACAGUCCAUGAACUUGAUCACAAGAGAUAACCCUGCAUUACCACAGGAUUACUAUAAAGCUAGUUUCAUUGCUGGCCUGAGUGACAACAUUCAGCAUCAUGUUCAAUGUCAUGAACCACCUGAUCUGCAAAAAGCUAUUUGGUUGGCCAGAAGAAUAGAACAAGCACAACCAGCUAAGAAAAUUCCCCUGCCUUUUCUAAAUCAGGCAGUUAGGAGGCAAAUCAAGUUUGAUCCUCGCAAACAACCUUCUAAUUCAACAGCUACUAAAAUUCAACAAGAAAAAAUGAAAGGUAUCUGCUACAAGUGGAAAGAUCCAUGGUUCCAGGACAUAAAAAGGUUUGUAAGCUAGCAAACCAAAUACAAACCCAAGCAAUGCAAGAAUGUUAUCCUCAAGAUGCAGAGUUAGUCUAUUACACUGCUGAUAAUGAGGAAGCAGAACCCCCCCCCCCCAUGUGUAGAUUCUGAUGAUCCCCCUCUUCAAAUAUCCAUGCAUGCACUUAUGGGAAUUAGAUCUACAAGGAAGGUCAGUUUCACUGUUACUGUAAUGCUGGGAAACACUCCUGCGACUGCCCUCAUUGAUAGUGGUGGUAGCACUGCCACAUUCAUCACACCAAACAUAGCUAAGACAACAAAUUGUGCCCUUACACUAACUAAAAGAAGACAGGUGAUAGUAGCUAAUGGUGAAACUCUCUCGUCACAAUUCAUUGCACUGCAGUGUCCCUUUUCCUUGCAGGGUAUACAAUUCUUCACUGAUUUCAGAGUUCUUCAACUACAAGGAUAUGAUGUCAUUCUAGGAGCUGACUGGAUGGCUUCAUUCAGCCCUGUGGAAUUAGAUUUUGAUGAAAUGCAUGUCAAAGUCACCUUACCUAGAGGAGAAAUAAAACCUUUCAAGAUGAAAGCUUACCUGCUAUUCCAAUCAAAGAGAUUGAUAGUAAAGAAGCAGUUUCAACUGAACAUGUCUGUGGAGUUGUUCUGAUACUGAACAGAAUUACUGUACAAGAACCACUGGACCAGGUUAUUCCUGAACCAGUGCAAAAAAUCCUACAAAACUACUCUCCUGUUUUCAGCACCCCAACUACAUUACCUCCAAAAAGAGCUAUUGAUCAUGUCAUCACCUUCACCCCCCAAGCAAAGGUCAUCAAUCAGGGACCUUAUAGAUUAUCUCACCACCAGAAGGAUGCCAUGGAAAGUAUAAUUCAAGAUAUGAUCAAAUCAAAAGUUAUAAGGGACAGCAAUAGCCCUUAUUCCUCCCCAGCUCUUUUGAUGAAAAGGAAGGACAUGACAUGGAGGUUAGUCAAUGAUUUCAAAAAGGUUAAUGAGCGAACUGUCAAGAACAAGUAUCCAAUCCCUGUAAUUGAGGAUCUCUUGGAUGAAUUAAAAGGAGCAACAGUAUUCUCAAAGCUGGAUCUCAGAAGUGGUUACCACUAGAUAAGAAUGCAGGAAGAAGACAUUACAAAAACUUCUUUCAGCACACAUUGUGGCCACUAUGAAUACUUAGUGAUGCCCUUUGGACUAACUAAUGCUCCUGCUACAUUCCAGCUACUAAUGAAUACCAUUCUAGCUCCUUAUCUGAGAAAGUUUGUCCUGGUUUUCUUUGAUGACAUCCUGAUCUACAGCAAAUAUAUGAAGGAACACGUUCAAGUGGUUCUAGAAGCCUUAAAGUCCAAUCAGCUUUAUGCAAAACUUAGCAAGUGUUCCUUUACACAACCACAGGUAGAAUAUAUGGGACAUGUCAUUAGAGGUGAUGGAGUGGCUACUGAUCCAACCAAGAUUGAGGCAAUCACACAAUGGCCAACACCUGAAAAUCUAACACAAUUGAGAAGUUUCUUGGGCCUUACUGGCUAUUACAGGAGGUUCAUUGAACACUAUGAUUUUACCUGCAAACCUCUAUUCCAGUCCAUGAAGAAAGACAAUUUCCAAUGGGGUACUAAUCAAAUGGAAUAUUUUAACAUACUGAAACAUAAGAUGACUCAAGCCCUAGUCCUGGCACUCCCUGAUUUUUCUCAACCAAUCAUCCUGGAAACAGAUGCUUCUGCAUAUGGAAUAGGUGAUGUCCUAAUGCAAGAGGGUAGACCUCUUUCUUAUUUUAGCAAAACAAUUGGGCCAAAAGCAGCUGCUAUGUCAACUUAUGAUAAAGAAGCUAUGGCAAUCAUUGAAGCACUAAAACACUGGAAACACUACUUUGUUGCUUCCUCAAUUAUCAGGACUUACCAGCAAAGUUUGACAUAUAUUCAGGAACAAAAACUUACAGAGGGAAUUCAGCAUAAACUCCUGAUCAAAUUGUUGGGCUACAGUUUUAAGAUUGAAUACAAACAAGGGAAGAACAACAAAGUUGUUGAUGCAUUAUCCAGAUUUAAAUGCAGACUGUAAUCACUAAUAGCUAGUCAAGCUCAGCCCUUUUGGCUAUCUGAAGUGGUUGCUAGUUAUGCUCGAGAUCAGAUGCAAGGAUCUACUGUCCCAACUAGCUACAUCAGCUACUGAUGUUCCUAAUUAUGCUCUCCAGCAGGGGUUGAUAAGAUAUAAAAACAGAACUGUUAUUGGGCUGGACAAUGCCCUAAGAACAAAAUUGGUCGGCUUUGCCCAAUUCUGAACUGGGUGGCCACUCUGGACAUAGAGCAACAUAUCAGAGAAUGAAGCUCCUUUUCCACUGGCCUGGCAUGAAUAAGUUUAUUGUGGACCAUAUUAAACAGUGCCCAACUUGCCAAAUUAACAAGCCUGAACACUGCAAGUACCCAGGUCUGUUGCAACCUCUUCCAGUUCCUGAUUUUGCUUGGUGUCACAUUAGCAUGGAUUUCAUUGAAGGCCUUCCAACUUCACAAGCCAAGGACAUGAUUCUUGUGGUGGUAGACAGAUUCACAAAAUCCACCCACCUCAUUGCAAUGAAACAUCAAAUAAGUGUGAGCACUGUAGCUGAAGCUUUUAUAGAGAAUAUCUUCAAGCUGCAUGGUCUCCCUUCAAUUAUUGUCACUGACAGAGACAGGAUCUUCACAAGCAAUCUUUGGCAGGAACUAUUCAAGAAGUUGGGUAUAAAACUCCACAUGAGUACUUCCUACCACCCCCAGUCAGAUGGACAAACAGAGAGAGUCAACCAAUGCUUGGAAAACUAAAACUACUUCAGAUGCAUGGCCUUCUUACAACCUAAAAAAUGGUUGCAUUGGCUUCCAUUAGCUGAGUGGUGCUACAACACUAGUUACCACUCUUCCCUCAAGCUCACCCCUUUCCUAGCAUUGUACAACAGCCCCCCUAACAUGUUGUCUAAGGCCACCCUGUAUCCUGCUGAUCUGACUCGGAGUUUUCCUCAAUCCUUACUAUAGAGAAAAUUGCAGCCCAGAUUAAAGGGAAUCUUCUCAAAGCUCAAGAGAGGAUGAAAAUGUAUGCUGACAGAAAAAGGUCUGAAAGAACAUUGGAAGUUGGGGAUAUGGUCUACUUGAAGUUGCAACCUUAUAGACAUACAACACUAAGCUUACACAGGUGCCUCAAAUUACACUCCAAGUACUAUGGGCCUUUCAGGAUCAUCCAAAAGGUAGGACAUGUAGCUUAUAAGUUGCUCUUACCUGAGCACUGCAAACUUCAUCCUACAUUCCAUGUCAGCCAACUGAAAAAGAACCUUGGACCACAAGCUAUUCCGAAUCCCAACCUUCCAUUACUCCAUGUUGAUAGUACAAUCCGGUUGGAGCCUGAAAGACUACUGGACAGAAAACUAAUUCCAAGAGUAGAGGGAGAUGUCCAGAUUCCAAUGGUCAGAUGGCUAAUCAAAUGGACUAAUCUGGAGGAGCGGGAUGUAACCUGGGAGGAUGCCUCGUUUAUUCAGAAGAUUUUCCCAACAUUUGAGCCCUGAGGACAAGUCUGAUGUCGAUCUGGGGGAGUUGCCAGGACCCAGUGUCUGAAUUCAGAUUCAGUCAAAACAUUUGAAAUGAAGAACCUUGGCGGGAAGCAACCACGAUCGUCUAUCGCUGAUCCAACGCCUCCCAGGCCUCCGUACCGCUUCGCUGAAGGAAAGGCCCCGACAACCGUUGAUCCUCGAUCGAACGGUGAUCCCAGCGUCGGGCGUCACUGUCGUUCAUCCGGCACGCUUUUCAUUUUCGUUUUCGUUUUAGCUUUACCGUUCCUCACUUUUGUAAGGCUAUAUAAGCCAUGAUUCCAGCUCGAUCAGGGCAUGACUUUCUUCUAGGGUUUCCCCCUAUUGCGCCACCAGUUUUCCUGGUUGGCAACCUUGUACUAGCUCCCAAGCUACUUCCUUAAAUUCGCGAUUAAAGAUGGCUAGUUUGAGUGCAUUUCUUCUGUGUUCAGUUCUUCAGACUAGCAAGGUCUGACAACGGUUCGACAGAAAAAACAAAGUCAAGAAAUAUAAUGUAUGAAUGGUGGUGGAUUUCAAGAUCGAGAAGCUUUUAGAAGUCCAAGUCUGAGUAAAAAACUGUACCGGGAGAACCUAGCAGUAUUGGGUUAGACAUUGUCGAUGUUGAAGACAUUGUUGCUACCUGUUUGUGUGGGGUGUAAAUGUUCGCUGUUCAAACAUGGUAGGUGGUAAAUAUAUGUGGUCUCUCCAAUAACAUGCAGCGAUGCAGCUAGAGGAAACCAAUAACUAAAUAUUGAAAUAAAAACUAUGGAAAUUGUUGUCCAUAUAAUAGAUUUUGGAAAGAAAGACAACACAUCACUACAUUAUCCUAUAGCUUUCAGCUCUAGACAAUUCUGAACACAAGAUGAUUAAUCUAAAUUUUCUCGGUUCCCAAUAAGAAUUUAUAUUACCUAAAUAUUUGAUGGAAAAAAGGUUAGCCGGGAGGCAAAACAAAUAUUUAAUUAUUAAUUCUAUGAGUAAAUAUUUGUUCGGACGAAGGUAUAAGAGUAUGUACCAAUUCUCGGGAAAAUGGGGAAGAUAGCACAGAAUCGCUGAUAUUACCAUCCGGUGACCAUCUAGUGGGAGUUCACUUAUAUGUACGUGUGCCCAUGCUUAAAUAAUGCAGACUAGAUAAGUGUGGAUGGACUUAGCUUGUCGAUCGAAUUAGAUAUUGUAUAGAGGCACCUGUAAAACAUCAUCAAUUGCUAUACAAAAAAGAUGCAAUGGGAGAGUUAAAGAGAAGUCAAUACCAUAAAUUGAUUUGCUUGUCUCUUCAGGUUGAGUUUCAAGAUGAAUACUCGCCUCUUUGAGAUUUUUUUCCACGUGUGAACAAUCUCUAUCUUAUCCUACCUAAAAAUGAGGAUCAAAAGGUAUGAACAUGAGUAGGGAUGGAGCAACGUAGCAUAUGUUCUGGCUGACUGUCCUUGAGGCCAUGAGGAGUGAAUCCGAUCUGGUCCAGGUUGUAGGUCUUCUUGCAAAGCCUAAUGCAGUUGACGUUAGCUUGGUGGUGGAGACUAACUGUGAGGCAUGCGACAUGCCGCAGGGCCAAAGUAGAUCUGUGUGUUUUCAAACAAACAAUUAACAAACAGAUGAUAUGAAUGACCAGGUCACCAAAAUAUUUUUGUGGAUCAGUAAUGAGAAAUGUGUAAAUUUGUUCAAACACAUAAUUUACUGCUAUGUAUUAAGAACUUAAGAUCUGAGUAUAAUAUAGUAGUGGAUUGUUGUUUACUAAUAGGCAGAUAAAUCAGAAGCUAACACGGAUUAGGUAAUGAAAAAGCGAUAAGAAUAAAAAAGAUGUAUCGAUCCACCAACUUGCUUGCUUCUCGCUUGCAUGUGCCUAGGCCUAGACUAAGAAUCGAUCCACCUUCUUGCUUGGUUGGUUGCUGCUAGCUUGCACGCAUGUGUUGUUCUCGUUCCUGCUUGUUGCAGUACCCUAAUUUUCAGAGUUCAACAAUGCCAUAUGGUUUAAAGUUCAGGAAUGUACAAGCAAGCAUCACACAGCAGUACAAAGAGGAUAUCCCAGGAGGAGCCGAUGCUUACCUAUUGGAAAAGACGAGUCUUGUGCGGAGACCUGCAGCAACGGCUGGCUGGCUUCGGGAGGGGCGCAGCGGGAUGGGGAGCUCGUGGAUUCAUGUGUACCGGCAACAACGGGGACGGGGAGCACAGAUGGAGAGCUCGUGGCUGGGACGGGGAUAGGGGUGGGGUGGAUCCCUGAGCACGACGAGGGCGGCUGGAUCUCAGGCGGAGCACGAGGAUGUCAGGCUCUAGCUACUCACUAGGGAAGAAACAUGCAUCGACAACCAAUUUCAGAGGUCGAGAUUAGAUCGGGAAGUGUUUCUAUUGCUUGGAAAUUGGGGAAAAUGGAUAGAGCUCGCCACAGGCGGCUAGGGUUUUUACCCAAACAUGUCUCUAAGGGCUGGUAUGAGAGGCAUUUAUAAGCCAG
RNAcentral lists this long non-coding RNA (9589 nucleotides) under Hordeum vulgare. RNAcentral describes it as "long non-coding RNA (HVUL_LNC004109)". Lineage: Eukaryota; Viridiplantae; Streptophyta; Magnoliopsida; Poales; Poaceae. The record is from RNAcentral.